GAUGAAGAACGCAGCGAAAUGCGAUAAGUAGUGUGAAUUGCAGAAUUCAGUGAAUCAUCGAGUCUUUGAACGCACAUUGCGCCCCCUGGUAUUCCGGGGGGCAUGCCUGUCCGAGCGUCAUUGCUGCCCUCAAGCACGGCUUGUGUGUUGGGCCCCGUCCCCUCCCCCGGGGACGGGCCCGAAAGGCAGCGGCGGCACCGCGUCCGAUCCUCGAGCGUAUGGGGCUUUGUCACCCGCUCUGUAGGCCCGGCCGGCGCCAGCCGACACCCAACUUUUAUUUCUAAGGUUGACCUCGGAUCAGGUAGGGAUACCCGCUGAACUUAAGCAUAUCAAUAAGCGGAGGA
RNAcentral lists this unclassified non-coding RNA (344 nucleotides) under soil metagenome. RNAcentral's name for it is "partial contains 5.8S ribosomal RNA, internal transcribed spacer 2, and large subunit ribosomal RNA". The stretch from base 1 to 120 matches the Rfam family "5.8S ribosomal RNA", at positions 35 to 154 of the family's 154-position model. The record is from RNAcentral.